RNAcentral lists this long non-coding RNA (965 nucleotides) under Glycine max (soybean). Its description in RNAcentral is "long non-coding RNA (GMAX_LNC001873)". Lineage: Eukaryota; Viridiplantae; Streptophyta; Magnoliopsida; Fabales; Fabaceae. The record is from RNAcentral.
UACCUUCAGCCACCGGUGCUUUUGUGCUUGACAGUGAUGGAAACCCUCUUGAAAAUGGUGGCACAUACUAUGUGCCAGCACCAAAUAACUGCGGUGGAAUAGAAUACACUACAUCAGGAAACGAAACUUGCCCUAUCACUGUUGUGCAACAUCACGACCCAACCUGUAAGGGGUUUCCGAUAACGAUUUCGUCCCCGGCCCGAAUCCGUUACAUCUCCGAAGGCCUUAAUGUGAACAUAGGGUUCACUUUCAGACCCCCUCCGUGUGCCCCCUCUUCUUUGUGGACUGUUCUCAAGGAUCAAUCUGAACACCCAGACCCCUACGAAGGAGUAAUAUUGCCUGUUAAACUUAAUAAUGAGGACAACAGCAACAAUACAGUUCCCGGUUGGUUUAAAAUUCAGAAACUUCCCUUGGACUUUAUUACAACCUACUACAUUGUGUUCUGUCCACUUGACCAAAGCCCAUGUUGGAGUGUUGGCUCUAAUUUCGACCAAUACGGAAACAGGCGUUUGGUGGUGGCUCAGUUUGCGCGGCGCCAAGACAUAGAGUUUCAGAAACUUUCAUACGCAUCAAGAUCAACUCAUUCUUCUGCAUGAAGAAGUACCACUUAAUUGCCCUCAAGAAUCAUGUACUUUCUCCUAGUGAGUGAUCUUGUGUAAGGCUAAAUAAAUGCUUCAUUUUGUAAUAAAUUAUUCUAUGGCUAAAUAAAUUAAUCAAAGCUUAUUAUGUCUCCAGCGUAGAGUAGUAUAUAAACUGUAUAUAGUUUUUGAUUGAAUUUAAUUUAUACCUUCUCGGAAGCUUGACUCCAUCCAUCAUCCUUGCACGCCAUGCACCAUGCAGUCCGUUAUGCUUUUCUGUUAUUUCUUUUUCGUGUAGUUUGUUACAGCAUCAACGUAUGAUGCCUAUAUAUAACAAUUAUCGUGUAAUGAAAGGACACAUGAAUAAGAACAAUUUCCUUUCUUAUC